CGGGCUGCAGUUUCUGACUUCUGCGGCCCGCACCGAUCAUUGAUACCCAUUCUGUGUGUAACGAGCAUAGGGGAGAAAAGAAUUCCUGUGAUUAAUACAUACAAUAUGUUGCAGGAUAAUAUGUGGCUCCAGGGUUAGAGUGGAAGUGUCAACGGGGAUGCCUCGUCGCUCCCGUUACGACAGGCCUCCUGCGCGGCGCCCCUUUGAUCCUAAUGACAGAUGCUACGAGUGUGGUGAGAAAGGCCACUAUGCUUAUGAUUGUCACCGCUAUAGUCGCCGAAGGAGGAGCAGGUUUCUUCGUUUGAGUCAGUCGCCUUGAUUCAGAAUGUCACGAGCCUUAAGAUUUCAUGCUGAGGCGCCUUGCAAAUCCGACACUUAAGAUCCUCCUAGACCUUGAGGUGAUCAGCAUAAGAGGCCAGAUCCCCUCGAGCCAUCUACACGUAGCUUCACCUUAUUCUUUAAGGGCAGAAAAUUUGAGACGGUGAUCGCCGUAACAGUAAAUUUGGCUUUCAAUUGGGGCCCCCCUCCGGUUUAGAAAGAGGAACACCAGAUUGACCACAUUCCCACCUAGAAAAAUCUUCUUGCGUCAAUCAAGCCUCACCCUGGCUCAUUGGGCUGUCAGUUUGAUCGUCGUUAGAUUGAAGAGAACACCUAGAUGCAGCGAUCGGCUAUAGAUACUUCUAGAUCGUCUAGAUCUGCUAGACCUUGGGCCAAAGAGGGUCGACCUGCAAACUUGCAAGGUCCCGGUCUAGAUCCCGUUCAAGGUCCCGAGGAAGAAGGUAUUCUCGGUCACGCAGUCGGAGUCGUGGUAGGAGGUCCCGGUCAGCUUCCUAUCGUAGGUCCCGGUCCAUUUCUCCUCGUAGGUCUAGGUCUGUGUCUCCCCGCCGGUCCCGAUCGGGUUCCUUGAAGAGAUCAAGGUCUAGAUCAAGAUCCA
RNAcentral lists this long non-coding RNA (934 nucleotides) under Buteo japonicus. RNAcentral describes it as "lncRNA (ENSBJAG00000001576.1)". Lineage: Eukaryota; Metazoa; Chordata; Aves; Accipitriformes; Accipitridae. The record is from RNAcentral.